GGAUGUGAGGGCGAUCUGGCUGCGACAUCUACCACCCCACUGAUUGCCAGGGUUGAUUCGGCUGAUCUGGCCGACUAGGUGGGUGUUCCCUUCCUCCUUCAAUGAUCCAUGUGCAUCCCUCCCAAAGCUGUCACUCAGGUGAAGAGGACGACCACCCCCGACAGAGGAAGACCGUUACUCGAUCAAGGUUAUAUGAGUAGCUGCACUCCCCUGCUAGAACCUCCAAACAAGCUCUCAAGGAAGCUAAGACAGGAGGAUCACUGUGAAUUCAAGGCCAGCCUGGGUAACAAAGUGAGUUUAAGGCCAGCCU
This 310-nucleotide small nuclear RNA is filed under the name Octodon degus (degu). Its description in RNAcentral is "7SK RNA (ENSODEG00000023674.1)". It matches the Rfam family "7SK RNA". Rfam says of the family: 7SK was discovered as an abundant small nuclear RNA in the mid-70s but a possible function has only recently been suggested. Two independent studies have found that 7SK RNA binds the CDK9/cyclin T complex (known as elongation factor P-TEFb). The record is from Rfam by way of RNAcentral. Lineage: Eukaryota; Metazoa; Chordata; Mammalia; Rodentia; Octodontidae.